Molecule: ribosomal RNA, 1200 nt
Filed under: Triticum aestivum (bread wheat)
Lineage: Eukaryota; Viridiplantae; Streptophyta; Magnoliopsida; Poales; Poaceae
Description: partial small subunit ribosomal RNA
Source: RNAcentral
AUGCCCGGUGGACGAACCACCCAUUCCAGGUUCAAAAUACCGAUUAGGCUCACGGACAACAACAUGUGCAGUUUCACCAAGCAGAGUGGUACUGCGGAGCUGCUUCAUAGGGCAUUGUUGAUAAUAUGGGAUGAAGUUGCCAUGACAAAGCGUCAAGCAGUAGAGGCACUUGAUAGGUCACUACAAGAUAUCAUGGGAAGUGAUUUGCCUUUUGGGGGGAAGGUUGUUGUGUUUGGAGGAGAUUUUAGGCAGGUCCUUCCUGUGGUGACACGUGGGACAAGGGCACAGAUCACUGACGCAACACUACCGAGAUCUUAUCUAUGGGAGAAGAUUAAGAAAAUACGACUGAGGCGUAAUAUGAGAGCACAAACUGACCCCUGGUUCUCCAAAUAUCUCCUAAGAAUUGGGAAUGGAACGGAGGAGACGAUUGGUGAUGAUUAUGUGCGUCUUCCUGAUGACAUUGUGAUAGGGUACACUUCCACAGAAGAAUCGAUAAAGAAGCUUAUCGAAGAAGUCUUCCCAUCACUGCAUGAGAAUGCUGCAUCUGGAGCCUAUAUGAGCACACGUGCUAUCCUUUCUACCAAGAAUGAGCAUGUGGACGACUUGAAUGAAAAGAUGAUUGACAAAUUUCCUGGCCAAGAAAAGGUAUACUAUAGCUUUGACUCCGUCGAUGAUGAUGCACACAAUAACUAUCCAAUUGACUAUCUAAACUCGAUCACCCCAAAUGGCUUGCCCCGACAUGUUCUGAAAAUCAAGGUCAAUUGUCCUGUCAUUUUGCUCCGAAAUCUCGAUCCUCACAAUGGGCUAUGUAACGGAACAAGAUUGAUGAUUAGAGCGUUCCAAGACAAUGCAAUAGAUGCCGAGAUUGUUGGUGGACAACAUGCUGGAAAGAGAGUGUUCAUACCUAGGAUUCCUUUGGCACCCUCCGAAGACAUAUCACUUCCUUUCAAGUUGAAGAGGAAACAAUUCCCGAUUCGCUUGAUUUUUGCAAUGACCAUAAACAAAGCCCAGGGGCAAACUCUAGCAACUGUUGGUAUUUACCUUCCUGAGCCCGUCUUCUCACAUGGCCAGCUAUAUGUUGCACUGUCAAGGGGAGUUUCAAGGCAGACCACUAGGAUUUUGGCCAAGCCAAAUAAGGACAUAGAUCCCACAGGGAAAAGCACCAAAAACAUUGUGUAUAGAGAUGUUUUGGAGGGAUGA